CAUUACAGAGUUCAUGCCCUUACGGGUAGAUCUCCCACCCUUGUGUAUUAUACCUUUGUUGCUUUGGCAGGCCGCUUCGGCUACCGGCUUCGGCUGGUGAGUGCCUGCCAGAGAACCCAAAAUUCUGAAUGUUAGUGUCGUCUGAGUACUAUAUAAUAGUUAAAACUUUCAACAACGGAUCUCUUGGUUCUGGCAUCGAUGAAGAACGCAGCGAAAUGCGAUAAGUAAUGUGAAUUGCAGAAUUCAGUGAAUCAUCGAAUCUUUGAACGCACAUUGCGCCCCUUGGUAUUCCGAGGGGCAUGCCUGUUCGAGCGUCAUUAUAACCCUCAAGCUCUGCUUGGUAUUGGGCCUCGCUAGUAAUAGCGUGCCUUAAAAUCAGUGGCGGUGCCGUCUGGCUCUAAGCGUAGUAAUUUUUUCUCGCUCUGGACGUCAUAUGGAUACUUGCCAUUAACCCCCAAUUUUUAAAGGUUGACCUCGGAUCAGGUAGGGAUACCC
RNAcentral lists this ribosomal RNA (495 nucleotides) under uncultured Ascomycota. RNAcentral describes it as "eukaryotic LSU rRNA". The stretch from base 164 to 317 matches the Rfam family "5.8S ribosomal RNA". The record is from RNAcentral. Lineage: Eukaryota; Fungi; Ascomycota.